Molecule: unclassified non-coding RNA, 464 nt
Filed under: Onthophagus taurus
Lineage: Eukaryota; Metazoa; Arthropoda; Insecta; Coleoptera; Scarabaeidae
Description: zinc finger protein 501, transcript variant X2
Source: RNAcentral
UAACUAGGAAAAUGUAAGGCAUCCUCGCCUUGUCAAAAAAUGUGGGCUAUUUAGUUGUAGUGGAGGUUAUUUCUUUUUAUUAACCAACUUAUCGGUCUAUUUGUGCUUUUAUCGAGAGGUCAAUCGUCGAAGGAUAAAACGGUGAAAUUAAUUAUAAGAACAUUUACCUAAUAAGCUUCUUGUUAAAACGUUCAUUCUUUAAUUAUUUUUUUCCAUAUUAUCAUGUUCCAACAUCAUUUCAAAAAACAUUAAAACCCAACCAAACUGUGAUUCAUCUUGAUAUAAAGUUAUCGAAACAAAAUAAAUUUAAACCAAAGAUAUAAGUUGCCAUUUAUAUGUGCGGAAUUUUUACGAUUUUGUGUAACCACCUUAUUAAAAUAAAAAACAAAAAUCUUGUAAACUAUACAUUUCUACUUGUGUGCCAUGUUGUAUCACAUUAGAUAAUAAAUGUAGUAAUAACUAAA